This 510-nucleotide ribosomal RNA is filed under the name uncultured bacterium. Its description in RNAcentral is "partial 16S ribosomal RNA". It matches the Rfam family "Bacterial small subunit ribosomal RNA", at positions 28 to 507 of the family's 1533-position model. The record is from RNAcentral.
GACGAACGCUGGCGGCGUGCUUAACACAUGCAAGUCGAACGGGAUGAUUUAGAAGCUUGCUUUUAGAGAAUCUAGUGGCAAACGGGUGAGUAACACGUAGGCAACCUGCCGACAGGAUGGGGACAACAUUCCGAAAGGAAUGCUAAUACCGAAUGAAGCGCAGGAGAGGCAUCUCUCCUGCGUGAAAGAUGGCCUCUAUUUAUAAGCUAUCACCUGUCGAUGGGCCUGCGUCUGAUUAGCUGGUUGGUGAGGUAACGGCUCACCAAGGCGACGAUCAGUAGCCGGUCUGAGAGGAUGACCGGCCACAUUGGGACUGAGACACGGCCCAGACUCCUACGGGAGGCAGCAGUGGGGAAUCUUCCGCAAUGGGCGCAAGCCUGACGGAGCAACGCCGCGUGAGUGAAGAAGGUCUUCGGAUCGUAAAGCUCUGUUGAUGGGGACGAACGUGCGAAGGGUGAAUAAACCUUUGUAAUGACGGUACCUGUCGAGGAAGCCACGGCUAACUACGUG